This 74-nucleotide transfer RNA is filed under the name Candidatus Liptonbacteria bacterium RIFCSPHIGHO2_01_FULL_57_28. RNAcentral describes it as "tRNA-Gly". It matches the Rfam family "tRNA". From Rfam's summary of the family: Transfer RNA (tRNA) molecules are approximately 80 nucleotides in length. Their secondary structure includes four short double-helical elements and three loops (D, anti-codon, and T loops). Lineage: Bacteria; Candidatus Liptoniibacteriota. The record is from RNAcentral.
GCGGGUAUGGUUCAGUGGCAGAACGCGACCUUCCCAAGGUUGAGACACGGGUUCGAUUCCCGUUACCCGCUCCC